UUACUAUAGUUCCUAGAAUCCUUAAUUAAUGUUAGAUAUCAAACCAUUCUAUAAAACCAAUGAUAUAACUCUAUGAACCAAUAGCAUGUUAUUGAGUCUGCUUCUAGUAGCACAUUUUAGUCAAAAUAAAUCUCUUGGUUCAACAACUUUUACACGCAAUGCAAGGCGAAAGGACAAGAUUGACGACAACGACUGUGCGAUGGAGGAAGAAUUAGUGGCGUUGUCGAUUGCUGAAGGGGAGGGGAGGAGGAUGCAUGGUAAGUUGAUUUGGAGGAGGAAUUGAGGAGGGAAGGGGAAGAUCUGAGCGUUGUGGGCUGUUUCUUGACUGCUAGUGUUGUUCAAUUCUAGGCUAUGCGUACAACUUUAGCCAAUUUACAGCAUCCGCUUGGGGGUGUGACGAUUACAGAUCUAGGGGGAGAAUGAUUUCUUUUUAAGUUCUAUUAUGAGAUUGAUCUAGCCAGGUUUUUAGAAGGAAGCCCUUGGAUGUUUAAUAACCAUUUGUUGCUUUUCCACAGAUUAAAGGUAGGGGAAGAUUCAUUGGCUGUGCCAUUGUUUUGGUCAGAUUUUUGAUCCAAGUUCUUGAUCUUCCGGCGGGUUUAAUUUUUGAGAUGAUGGCCAAACAGUUUGGGAUUUCUUAGGGCAAUUUUUAGAGUGUGAUGCGAAAUCCAUAAGCAAAGGUUAUCAGAGUUACAUGAGGAUUCAGGUAAGAAUUGAUGUGAAGAAUACGAUGAAGAGAAGGAAAAAAAUUGUUUUGGGUAACAAAGGUUGCAUUUAUGUACGCUUUCAAUAUGAAAGAUUAUUGAUGUUUUGUUUCCUGUGUGGACGAUUGGGACAUUCAGAAAGAUUUUUCCUGGAAAGGAUUGUUCAUGGGAAGAAAUAUUUGGUGUUUGAGUGGGAUCUUUCAAAAAAAAUGAUUCCCAAACGAGCAAUGAUGGUGUCAAGCUGUUGUUUACGUGAGGAGAGGGAAGGGCUGUAGUUUGAUGAGUUGGGGAAGUCGUUGGGAAUGGGAGAAGAAUAGGAGCAAAUGAAUAUAUAAGGCUUUUUUCAAAAUGCUGAUUUUUUGAGGCAUGUGGGUGCCAAUCUAGGAUUGAAUAGGGGGAAAAAGACGUCUGAUCUAGAUGGGGAAGAGAAUAUGGAUCCAUAUAGGGAUCUGGUGGGGGAGAUUGUCCCAUAAAAGUUAGGGAAGGGAAGAAACGACCUCGUAGUUCAUGAUUUUCUCAAGUUUCUAUUGGAUGGAUUCGGGGAGAACUUUUGAUGAACAUAAUUAUGUUCAUGUUUCUGAGAUAUCGGUUGGCUCUGUAGGGUAAGGUAGUCGAAUGUAGUAAAAAUCUUGUGUUGGAAUGUCCGGGGGAUGGGAACCCCCGGGUGAUACGACGCUUUCGGCACAUGUUGAGGGACACUAAUCCUGAGGUGGCUUUCUUCAUGGAAACUAAGUUAUAAAGUUCUAAGAUGGAGAAAGUUCGAAGUAGUUGGGGUUUGAUAGAAUGAAUUGAUGUGAGUAGUGAAGGUAUAAGGGGGGAUUAUCUUUAUGUUGGAAACAAGGGUGUAGGGUGGUCUUAUGAAGCUUCUUAUUGAACCAUGUUGAUAUGAUUGUGGAAGGUGACACAGAGGCUACUAGGUGGCGAUUUACUGGUUUUUAUGGGCAUCCAAUGGAAAGUUUGAGGCAUCAUUCGUGGAAUUUACUAUGAGGCAUAUCAACAUAGAGCUUUGAACCGUGGUUGGUUAUGGGGGACUUCAAUAAGAUUUUGUAUUCUCAUGAGAAACAAGGGGGAAGCCUAAGAGAUGAAAGUUGUAUGGAAGCUUUUAGGUUUGCUCUUGAUGAUUGUGAUUGCUAGAUGUGGGUUAUGAAGGCCAAUGAUUUACGUGGGAACGUGGAAAAUUGACUCAUAAUAAUAUUCGGGAAAGGCUUGAUAGAGGGGUGUCAACACCAGGAGAGAGAGAUUUAUUUCCGAGUUAUAGUCUUAAGCACUGCGCGCAUUCAGUAUCUGACCAUUGCCCACUUUUACUUAAUACUUGUGGUUUGGUUGAGAGACAACAACAAAGGUACCGUAAUUUUAAGUUUGAGGCAACUUGGAUUCUUGAGGAAUCAUGCGAAGAAGAGGUCCGUCGGCUUUGAUUAAUUCGGAGGGAUUGGUGCCUGAUAAGAUUAAGUCAGUUGAGAGGGGUUUAAUGAGGUGGGCAAAGAAGGUUAGGCAGAGUUCGCGAAUGUCUAUGGAUAGAUUAAAACAUCUUCUAGAAGAAUUAAAUAGCAUAUCUUCAUAUAAUGAGAUAUUGGAAGAGUUAAUCAUCAUGAAGAUACAAUUAAAUUUGGAGAUUGAUAAGGGGAGAGGUAUAGGGAGCAACAAGCAAGGGCUAAUUGGUUGAGAAACGGUGAUCGAAAUAUAGGUUUAUUUCCAUGGAAUGACAACUUAGCGUAAAAAGAUGAAGAGUAUUAGUCGACUUGAGGAUGGAGAUGGAUGAGUGAGGAUAGGGGAUGAAGGGAUAGAGCAAAAUACGUGUCGAUACUUUUCAGAGUUAUUUAUUUCGUAGGGUAGAUGUGAUAGUAGAAGGCUCUGUUCGGGUAUUCCGAUUCAUGUUACUGAUGGCAUGAAUGAGUUCUUGAGUUCGAGAUUUAUGAAAGAGGAGGUAGUGGCGACAAUUCGAAGCAUGCAUCUUACAAAGGCACCGGGGGAAGAUGGAAUGCCAGCUUUGUUCUAUCAACAAUUCUGGCAUAUAGUUGGUAUUGAUGUAAGUAAUUAUUGCCUUGAUAUAUUGAAUAAUGAAGGAUCUACGUCGAAGAUUAAUUAUACUAAUAUAGUGCUUAUUCCAAAAUAGUCUAAUCAUGUUAGUAUGACACAUUUUAGACCGAUUAGCCUUUGCAAUGUCUUGCUUAAAAUCAUUACUAAAGAAAUUGUUCAUAGAUUGCAAAUGAUAAUGCCACAUUGCAUUGAUGAAGCGCAAAGUGUAUUUGUACCGGAGAGGUUGAUUAUGAUUAAUGUCAUAGUGGCUUUUGAGUUGCUGCCUGCUUUUAAGAAGAAAAAAGGAGGUCGAAGAGGGUCUUUUGCAUUAAAGUUGGAUACGAGCAAGACAUACGAUAGAGUGGAAUGACAUUAACCGUCUUAAAAGUUCACUAAAGCUUGAUUACAGUUAAUGUUGAAGACGGGUUUUGGGAAGGGUUGGGUCAAGCUGGUUAUGAGAUAUGUUACGUCUGUCCAGUAUUCAGUUGUGUUGAAUAAGAAACUAAGAGGGCUCAUCUCCCUUUCUAGAGGACUUUGACAAGGUGAUUCGUUAAGUCCUUUCUUAUUUCUUUUCUGUAGUGAGGGCUUGUUUGCUCUGUUACGAUUAGCCUCUCAAGAUAGUCUUAUAAAAGGAGCGAAAGCGAGUCGAUCAAGGCCUAUAGUAUCUCAAGAUAGUCUUAAAAGGGCGAAAAAUGUGAAAAAUGUACUGAAAGAGUAUGAGGGUUGUUCGGGGCAACUAAUUAAUUUUAAUAAAUCCCUUGUUUGCUUCAGUUCAAAUGCUAGUGAAAGAACUCGGCAACUAAUUGAAAGGGUGUUAGGUGUGAGGAGUUCUUUGGAUCCUGAGAAGUACUUAGGGUUACCUAUGGUGAUAGGGCGAAACAAAAAGCUCGCGUCCUGUACUAUUAUGGAUCAUAUUCAAAGCAGAAUAAAUGGAUAGUGCAAUUGAUGGUUAUCGUAAGGGGGGUUGGAGGCUGGCUUGUAAUCCUACUUUUUUAGUUGCACGAGUUUUGAAAGUUAAAUAUUAUGCGAGGAGUGAGUUUAUGAAAGCAAAGUUAGGGAGUCUGGAGAAGCAUUUGGGCAGCAAAGGGACUCUGUUGAAGGGAAGCAGCUGGCACGUUGGUGAUGGCAAAUCAAUUCCAGUAUGGGAUGUAGCUUGGUUACCUGGAGACAAACCAUAUAUUGUUCAAUCACCUCGAGUUAAUGAUGUAAUUACUGUGGCUGAUUUGAUUGAUGAACAGAAUGGAAAAUGGAAGGAAAAUGUUGUUCAUCUCACCUUCAAUGAACAGGAAACGAGAAGAAUCUUAAGCAUCAUGUUGGCAAAGUAUGGUCUAGCGGACAGAUUGAGAUGAUGUCCUGAGAAACCUGGUGAGUAUACGGUGCGUAGUGGGUAUCGACUGCUGUUGUGGGGUUUUCCAAGAACUGAUAAUGAUUUGUACGGUGAUAUAGAGUCGGAAAUGCGAAUGUUGUACAGACAACUAUGGCUGGCAAAGGUGCCAAAAAAAUUGAAAAUUACAACAUGGAGAAUUUUACAUAACUAUGUGCCUACUAGAUCUAAUUUGCUGGUUAGAAGGUUAGCAGAUGCUGCUGCAUGUUUUCGUUGUGGAAUGGCGACAGAGACUACUUUGCAUGUUUGUCAAGACUGCCCUUUGGCAGCAGAUGGGUAUUAGUUGGAAUCUGUAUCAAACGGGAGUUAUUCCUUCAAUGGCUUCAACACUUGUUUUUAGGGAACAGUCAACAACAAUCUUUGAUUACUGUCAUCAUAUGGGCUUUAUGGCUAUCAAGAAACAAGUUGAUGCAUCAAGGCAAAAGACAACCAGUCAGUGAUUUUUUCACUUUUGUAUUGGGAUAUAUCAGAGAACUGGAAUUGCUGGGGAAUUCUUACCCAAGGACUUUGUAAAAUUAGGCAGUGUUAUGGCAACUUCCAGAGGAUCAGUGGCUUAAAGGUAACUUUGAUAGGGGCUUUUACAGUGACAUGGAAGCAUCCAGUACGAGAAUAAUCAUUAGGGAUACCAGUGGUUUGAUAAUGGGAGCGACAUGCAGCCGGAAUAGCAACAUACUAUCAGUCGAAGUAGUGGAAGCAUUGGUCGCUGUUCAGGCCAUUCAAAUUGCCCAAGAGAUGGGGUUUCACAGAGUCGAGUUCGAGGGCGAUUCACUGGUGGUUAUCUCAAAGUUGAAGAUGCAAGGGUUAGUUAGAUCGACAGUCAAUAAUUAUAUCUGGGAAGUUAAACAACUGGUAAUGGGCUUUGAACGAUUUGAAUUCCAGCAUAUCAAAGAGGUGGAAAUAAGGUGGCUCACCAGUUGGCAAAGGAGGGCUUCAUUCGAAAGAGGGAUGUUCAGUGGGUGGAGGAGGGACCGCUGGCGAUCUGGGAAACAGUGGUAAUCGACGAAAGGGAGCUAUCCAAAGCCACAUCAUAGCCAUGUAUAGUUUGAAGAAAGAGCUGAAACAAAGGAUGCGAGCAGCGUUUCGUGAAAGCACUCAGAGCAUGUCGUUGAAAAACUUAUAAAAAAUAAUCCACAUUAACAAAUUUAAAAUAUAAAAAUUGUAACACGUUAAAUACAUUUAAAAAUUUGUUUGUCCCCUUAAAUAUUAAAAAACAAAUAUUUGUACAUAUAA
This is an RNA transcript of Gossypium raimondii (Peruvian cotton), 5331 nucleotides long. RefSeq lists it as uncharacterized. The transcript is spliced from 2 exons. The record is from RefSeq and is a predicted model, not a curated record. NCBI's taxonomy places the organism in Eukaryota, Viridiplantae, Streptophyta, Magnoliopsida, Malvales, Malvaceae.